RNAcentral lists this ribosomal RNA (280 nucleotides) under uncultured bacterium. RNAcentral's name for it is "partial 16S ribosomal RNA". It matches the Rfam family "Bacterial small subunit ribosomal RNA", at positions 338 to 610 of the family's 1533-position model. The record is from RNAcentral.
CCUACGGGGGGCUGCAGCUAAGAAUAUUCCGCAAUGGACGAAAGUCUGACGGAGCGACGCCGCGUGGACGACGAAGGCCGAAAGGUUGUAAAGUCCUUUUGCCGAUGAAGAAUAAGUGGGGGAGGGAAUGCCCUCACGAUGACGUUAGUCGGUGAAUAAGCCCCGGCUAAUUACGUGCCAGCAGCCGCGGUAACACGUAAGGGGCGAGCGUUGUUCGGAAUUAUUGGGCGUAAAGGGCGCGUAGGCGGUACUGCAAGCCCGGCGUGAAAACCAGGGGCUU